This 492-nucleotide ribosomal RNA is filed under the name uncultured bacterium. RNAcentral describes it as "partial 16S ribosomal RNA". It matches the Rfam family "Bacterial small subunit ribosomal RNA", at positions 29 to 507 of the family's 1533-position model. The record is from RNAcentral.
AGUGAACGCUGGCGGUAGGCCUAACACAUGCAAGUCGAACGGCAGCACAGUAAGAGCUUGCUCUUACGGGUGGCGAGUGGCGGACGGGUGAGGAAUACAUCGGAAUCUACUUUUUCGUGGGGGAUAACGUAGGGAAACUUACGCUAAUACCGCAUACGGCCUACGGGUGAAAGCAGGGGAUCUUCGGACCUUGCGCGAUUGAAUGAGCCGAUGUCGGAUUAGCUAGUUGGCGGGGUAAAGGCCCACCAAGGCGACGAUCCGUAGCUGGUCUGAGAGGAUGAUCAGCCACACUGGAACUGAGACACGGUCCAGACUCCUACGGGAGGCAGCAGUGGGGAAUAUUGGACAAUGGGCGCAAGCCUGAUCCAGCCAUACCGCGUGGGUGAAGAAGGCCUUCGGGUUGUAAAGCCCCUUUGUUGGGAAAGAAAAGCAGCAGGUUAAUACCCCGCUGUUCUGACGGUACCCAAAGAAUAAGCACCGGCUAACUUCGUG